UAUUUUCUCAAUUAGUUUUUGAAAGAUGUAGUUAAAAGUUCACCUUAUAGAAGCUGCACUCUGUCUCUUAGAUAGGCACAAUCAAGCACUAUUUAAUCAAUUUCGUCUCAUCAGUCCUCGUCACAUACCCUUACAAUAGCUACCUGAACCAGCUGACAAAAAUCAGCAACUUAACAGGGUAGAGAUAAGAUAAUUAGAUAAUUAUACAGAGUAUGAGAAAAGAAUGCUAGUAAAUUAUUUCAGAUGUUAUACAUAUGUAUAAGAUAUACUGCUUAUUUUAACCUGUAAACACCUUUUCAUGUAGUGUAUAAAACGAAACUGUAGGAUUUGAGAAAAGUUACAGGUCUGCUUUAAAGUUUGAAAGGCUCAGUUGUUCACAGUCUUUCCAACAGCAAAAGCCUCUGGGUGGAAAAUCUCUUAUCCUAUAUCUAGUCCUUUAGAAUCAAAAAAGAACUUGCUCAUCUCUUUCUGCAAUACUUAGUCCUUGAGAUAUACACCAAAGGAAUUAAAUCUCUUAUUUGUUUACAUCUCUUAUCUCUGCAUUUUUUAUAGAGCAAUAUGUGGAUUUCAGCCAAUCCAGUGUCUGUAAACCAGGGAGGAUCGGAAGGUAAAAGUUAAAUCUAAGAUUAUCGGAAGAGCAGAGGGAAGGAAAAAGCAAAGGUUCAAGCUGUGACGUUCAUAGAUAGAUCCCUCCUUCAGUUAGUCUUUCAUAGAUAUAGAGGUCAUAUAUUCAUUUGUCUAUGUCAGUUUGCCAAGUGGAGCAUGUUCCAUGUUGUGUCUUGUUGUGGUUAAGUGGUUAAAUCUGUGGAAUGUGGUGUUGUUUUUUCCAUUUUAAUUGCUUUAUUAUGCUUUAUUGGGGCAAUAAUACAUUGGCAUUUUGGGCCUUC
Molecule: long non-coding RNA, 887 nt
Organism: Spea bombifrons (plains spadefoot toad)
Lineage: Eukaryota; Metazoa; Chordata; Amphibia; Anura; Pelobatidae
Exons: 2
Source: RefSeq, a predicted model, not a curated record